GGCCAAUGAUACUAACAGACGCAGCCGGGCUCAUAACCCGGAGGUCACUAGAUCGAAACUAGUAAUUGCUA
This 71-nucleotide transfer RNA is filed under the name Fusarium oxysporum. RNAcentral describes it as "transfer RNA-Pseudo(CAT)". It matches the Rfam family "tRNA". From Rfam's summary of the family: Transfer RNA (tRNA) molecules are approximately 80 nucleotides in length. Their secondary structure includes four short double-helical elements and three loops (D, anti-codon, and T loops). The record is from RNAcentral. Lineage: Eukaryota; Fungi; Ascomycota; Sordariomycetes; Hypocreales; Nectriaceae.